RNAcentral lists this transfer RNA (73 nucleotides) under Chloroflexota bacterium. RNAcentral's name for it is "Chloroflexi bacterium (cold seep metagenome) tRNA-Thr". It matches the Rfam family "tRNA". From Rfam's summary of the family: Transfer RNA (tRNA) molecules are approximately 80 nucleotides in length. Their secondary structure includes four short double-helical elements and three loops (D, anti-codon, and T loops). Lineage: Bacteria; Bacillati; Chloroflexota. The record is from RNAcentral.
GCCGGCGUAGCUCAGGCGGAAGAGCAACUGACUUGUAAUCAGUAGGUCAUGGGUUCGAGUCCCAUCGCCGGCU